GAUGAACGCUGGCGGCGUGCCUAAUACAUGCAAGUCGAGCGAACAGACGAGGAGCUUGCUCCUCUGACGUUAGCGGCGGACGGGUGAGUAACACGUGGAUAACCUACCUAUAAGACUGGGAUAACUUCGGGAAACCGGAGCUAAUACCGGAUAAUAUAUUGAACCGCAUGGUUCAAUAGUGAAAGACGGUUUUGCUGUCACUUAUAGAUGGAUCCGCGCCGCAUUAGCUAGUUGGUAAGGUAACGGCUUACCAAGGCAACGAUGCGUAGCCGACCUGAGAGGGUGAUCGGCCACACUGGAACUGAGACACGGUCCAGACUCCUACGGGAGGCAGCAGUAGGGAAUCUUCCGCAAUGGGCGAAAGCCUGACGGAGCAACGCCGCGUGAGUGAUGAAGGUCUUCGGAUCGUAAAACUCUGUUAUUAGGGAAGAACAAAUGUGUAAGUAACUAUGCACGUCUUGACGGUACCUAAUCAGAAAGCCACGGCUAACUACGUGCCAGCAGCCGCGGUAAUACGUAGGUGGCAAGCGUUAUCCGGAAUUAUUGGGCGUAAAGCGCGCGUAGGCGGUUUUUUAAGUCUGAUGUGAAAGCCCACGGCUCAACCGUGGAGGGUCAUUGGAAACUGGAAAACUUGAGUGCAGAAGAGGAAAGUGGAAUUCCAUGUGUAGCGGUGAAAUGCGCAGAGAUAUGGAGGAACACCAGUGGCGAAGGCGACUUUCUGGUCUGUAACUGACGCUGAUGUGCGAAAGCGUGGGGAUCAAACAGGAUUAGAUACCCUGGUAGUCCACGCCGUAAACGAUGAGUGCUAAGUGUUAGGGGGUUUCCGCCCCUUAGUGCUGCAGCUAACGCAUUAAGCACUCCGCCU
RNAcentral lists this ribosomal RNA (865 nucleotides) under Staphylococcus epidermidis. Its description in RNAcentral is "bacterial SSU rRNA". It matches the Rfam family "Bacterial small subunit ribosomal RNA", at positions 28 to 874 of the family's 1533-position model. The record is from RNAcentral. Lineage: Bacteria; Bacillati; Bacillota; Bacilli; Caryophanales; Staphylococcaceae.